Molecule: long non-coding RNA, 975 nt
Organism: Etheostoma spectabile (orangethroat darter)
Lineage: Eukaryota; Metazoa; Chordata; Actinopteri; Perciformes; Percidae
Exons: 2
Source: RefSeq, a predicted model, not a curated record
AAAGGCUGCCCUUACUUUUUUCCUCCUCCCUCUCCCCCUCCCUCUUCCCUCCUCUCUUUUUUUCUCAAUGGAUGUCCUCUCUCUAACCUCAAUUGAGAGCUGUGUAACAGGACACUGCGAUAGGCUCGGCCCCCCUCUUUAACAGCCGCAUUAUAAGAGAGAGCAGCCCCGCUCCUGAGUGUGUGUGAGAGAGUACGUCCGACAGUGUCAGUCAGUCAGGGGGCUGAGGAGAGAAGAAAGGGUGAAGGGUGAGAGAAAAAGAGAGUAAAGAGAGAAAAGAGAGAGAGACUGCUUUGAAACAUGUGAUAGUGCAACUUUGGCGGGGCGUAUAGGGAUUGUAACGGCUGUAGUGUCUCCAGAGCUCUGGGAAAGCACCUUUAGCCCAGAGGGAGACACACACACACUCACACACACGCUGUGUGUGAGUGUGUGUGUGAGCCGGCUAUGUAGUGCUGCUGCUGUCACUUUAAGCCUGUUACUGAUUACACUCAGAAGAAUGCAACAGGAGGAGGGGAAAAAAGACAGAUGAGAAGACAUGUAAGGAUGAAGUUUUAGGAGUUGAGCGCCAGCAAGUUUGGUGUGACAUAGCCACGGACAGUGACGUGGGUGAGAAGUUGUUACCCAAUAGUGUCUCUCCCUUUCUCUCUCUCUCUUUUUAACUCACUGUUGGACCAAAGUUAAAGUAAAAGGGGAACCCGGAGUCCCUCUGCAAGGAAGGCACAGAGCAAAGGACACCCAGAAACGGAGGAAAAACUAAAAGAAAGACUCCACAGAAAAAGAAAUCGAGGGGAUGGGGUGGGGGUUCCCCCGUUCCACGCUCAGCGCCAGCCGGGAGAAAAACACUACACUCACCCACACGGGUUUGCUGAGCCUGCCCUGAUAACUCCCAAACACCGUUGAACAACCACGUGUUUCCAAAGCCCCUUCAAGGAGAGGUAAGGAAGUCAUUCAUUCGUUCAGAUUUUUUCAGCAAAA